CCUACCUAUGACGAAAAGUUUUGUUCCAGCACCGAAGAUUUUGUUGUAUGAAUUCCAGCCAGCACAGUAGUAAAUGCCUUCAUCUUCUUUUUCUAUGAAAUUUACCGUAAGGGUUGAAGUGAACGUUUGAGAAUUUUUCCUUGCUACAACUUUGUUGCUCUUUCCACCUAUUUGGCUUUGAGCUGGGACUGUUACCGAGCUCACGAAAAUCAGAUGCUCCAAAGCCUGAUUCAUUCUCUGCCGGUACCAGUGAACAGCUUCUGUUGGAAAAUUCGUGCUCUCUAUCUUGCAAUUUAUGUCGACACUUUUCUUUACUUCUGCGGACACAGAUAUCUGGGACUGCUCCACUCUGGAUAAGCUAAGCCCAACUGCAAGUAAAAGAAGAGAAUUUCCAAUGAAGUUCUGAUAAUGUAAGAAACAUCAAAGAAUUCCUUUGUUCACUCAUCUAGACUUGAAAGUUCAAGGAAUAACUCACGAGCCCAGAAGGAGAGGAAGGUAAAUGCUUCCAGCACUGACAUUCUGUCUGCCUGCCGGACUCUAUAAACUCAAGGAGAAAGCACGAACGUGGGACCUAGUGGCUGGGUGCCCCAAGUCAGUGGAAAGAGGGCAUGGCCUGAAAUGGGAGGGGAAGGAAGUGGUGGGUCUAGCAGGUCCUUGGGCUUUUAGUGCUAGCUGCAGGCUGCUCAGGUCUGAGCUUCCUGUUUUCUGUGGGGCUUGUGCUUGCUCUGCUGCUUUCCAGAUAAGGCUAGUGGUCUCUGGAGGGCUAUUUGGCAUGAACGUGAGGGGGCCCUGGAAGCAUCUUCAUUUCUGUGGAAACUGGAAUGGUUUCUACUCACCUAGGCACUAUUUUAUUUCUAAGCUAUGGUAUUGUAAGAUAUUGCGUGUUUAAUAAACACUGAAAUUUCUUAGCUAAAAUUUAAUCACUUUUGAAUGAAAAAAUGGUGAUUUCAAGUUAAAGGCAAACAGGGAAGCAUUAAAAAAACCCUUGACCCCAAAAGUAAAACAUUGACAUUUAUAGUAGCAAAUAUUUAAUGAGCAUUUUCUUUCUAUUUGUUAGGUUCUUUUUCCUAAAUGUUUUUCGUCUCACACUAAUUGCAGGAUAUUGAUGUUGCUAGUUCUCAUCUGAUCAGGAAAAUGAGGUUCAGAAGAGUGAUGUGACUCAACGAAAAUCACCCAACUCAUGGGUGGCACGUGCUGGUAAAAUGCUCAUUGAAGAAAUUCAGAAAAAUAGUGUAAAGAUGAUAAUAAAAUGCCUGUGAUCAUAUUACCAAGACCAACAACUCUUAUCAUUCUGAUGUUUUAAGUGCUGAAUUGCUUUUUUGCAGAUAUAUGGCUAUUAACACAAUGUUGUGGUGUAUAAAUAUAAGUUAUUCAAUGUCUCUUGUUUGGAGAAUUUAUUCUAUUUACAUUUAAAGUAGUUAUUGAUUCAUGUGUACUUAUUGCUAUUUCAUUAGUUGUUUCACAGAGUUUUUGUGGUUCAUUUUUGUUCUUAAGUUCUCUUCUUUUUGAUUUAAUUACUGUAUUUAGUGUUAUGUUUGGAUUCCUUUCUCCCGUGUGUGUAUCUAUUAUAGAUUUUUGCUUUGUGGUUACCAUGAGGUUUAUGUAUAGCAACCUGUAUAUAGAAUAUUUUAAGUUGCUUAUCUCUUAGGUUCAAACACAUUUUAACAACUUUGUAUUUUUCCUCCACACCUCCACAUUUACUAUUUUUGACAUCGUCUUACUUCUUUAGUUUCUCAUACUUUAACUGUUUAUUAUGAAUAGAGAUGAUUUGACUACUUUUAACCUUCCUGCUAGCUUUACAUGGGCUUUAUCACUUUUACUGUACUUUUACUGUACAUUUCAUCAAUAAGAUUUUUCCUUUCUUAAUGUUAAUAUUUUUAUCUGUGGUCUUUUCUACUUAGAGAAGUUCCUGUAUCAUUUCUAGUAAACUUAGUUUGAUGGAGCCAAGCUCUUCCUUUUUUUUUUUUUCUGGUCUAUAAAACUUUUGAUAUCUCCAUCAAAUCUAAAUGAAAACCUUCUUGGGGAGGCUCUCCAAGAUCAGCAGGUGAACCUGAUCCAGGCUCCUUUCAAAUUACUCUGGUGCCCCUGAUUUUGUGUACAUCUGUUAUGAGUAGAGUCUAUUUCCCACAGCUCUUUGGCUCUCCCCAAGCUAAGCCCUGUUGGCUUUCAAAGGCAAAGUUUCUGGGGUUCCUCUUUACAUCUCCAAGGAGCACAGGACUAGGGAACCCAGUGUGAGGCUUGGUACUCUCACUCCUCGUGGAGAACCACUGCAGCUGUAAUUAUCCUCCCAUUUGUGGACCAUCCACCCAGGAGUAUGGGUCUUGUCCAUACUUCAUCUUGGCCCUUUCUAUCCACUUGUUGUUCCCCCUUUAUAUCUUAAGUUGUAGAAGGUCUUUUCUGCUAGUCUUUAGAUCUUUCUCAUCAAUAGUUACUCUGAAAAUAGUUGAAAUUUUGGUGUGCCUGUGGGAGGAGGUGAGCUCAAGGUCUUCAUACUCUACCAUUCUUUUCUGAUAAUUUUUUUGGGGGGGUCUUUUCAGGGUUGCGUCCAAGGCAUAUAGAAGUUCCCAGGCUAGGGGUCAAAUCAGAGUUGUAGCUGCCAGCCCACACCAUAGCCACAACAAUGUGGGACCUGAGCCAUGUCUGCGACCUACAUCACAGUUCACAGCAACACUGGAUCCUUAACCCACUGUACGAGGCUACUCGUCCUCAUGGUUGUCUUUCCUUAGGGCUAGGAAACUUCAUAGAAUCCACUUUUUUUUUUUUUUGUCUUUUUCUAGGGCCACACCCGCAACAUGGGAUCUGAGCCACAUCUGUGACCUACACCAUAGCUCACGGCAACACGGAUCCAUAACCCCCUGAGUAAGACCAGGGAUCGAACUCACAACCUCAUGGUUCCUAGUCGGAUUCGUUAACCACUGAGCCAUGAUGGGAACUCCAAAUUCACUUAUUUAAAACACUAUUUCUUGUCUACAUGACUCUGAUGAACUUAUUACCUUCUAAAUCCGGCCAUCCCAUAGCACAUAAGGCUCUUUUUUACUAAUUAAAAAGAGACACACCUUUAUGCAGAAUUAGAAAAAGGCGCUCUUUUGAGGCUGAUUUAUACCUGAUCCUGGAGAAAGAGGGGUGGGCAUGGGAAGGGUACCCAGGUCCUAGGACCCUUAAGCAAGACACAUUGGUAGAACAUGCUACCACUGUAUGUGUGUGUGGUAUGGGAACAUCAUUGUAUAUAACUAUACAUUACAACAUAUUGUAUCUCCUCCUCAUUCUGAUAUUGGAAGAAGGCAUUUAAAUAUUAAGUCAUCCUUAGUAUUUAAAAUAGUCUCACUCAUUUUAGAGCAGUCUGUUACAGGUUAGUUUAGUCCCUUUGGGUACAUUCUUUAUCUUAUUUGCUUCUCUUUCUUCCUUCCUCUCAUUCAUUAGAUGGCAUCACUACAGAUAAGUGGAGUAUGAAUUCUUUGCAGACAUCCUCCUGCCCUCCUUUCUCUCACCAGCUUCUAGCUCUUUGCCCUGCUGGUCUCUGGGAUUUGGUCUCUUCCUCUGAAAUGGCUGGUACAAUAAGCAGAGCUUAACCUACCAAUCUUGAUUGUACAUGUUGUACCCCUUUAACUCACACAAACUUGUAUAUCAAUUAUAUCUCAAUAAACCUAGGAAGAGUAGAUAAAAUAAAGGAAGCAAAAAGUGAGUUUGUUCUGGGCACAUCCACCAUCUCCUCCAUGGGUGGUAAAUCUCAUAGUUCAGUCUUAAUAAAAAAAGGGCUGCAGGAGACACAACUUAUGUAGGAGAAUAAAAAUAUUCUGGCUACAAAUUUCCAAAAUAUUAUCCUCACUACACCUUAUAAUUGUUUAAGUCCAGGCUAUGAAAUUUUGAUCCAUCUUUAUCAACCCCAUCUAUGAUACUUCUUGAUAAAACAAAUCCACAAAACACAUUAGAAGAUUUUCUUAGGCUUUUGCCCUCAGAGGGGAAGGGUUCUAGGGCAGAUAGUACAGAAAUAGAAUUCUUCAAGAUGUGCCCCAAGGUGGCAUGCUAGCCAUGACCUCUUGAGUGAGUAUACAUUGUGUCCUGACCAGGGCUGGGUGGUAGGUUUGGGGCAACCUAUAUUUUCUCACAAAUGCCAAAGCAUAUUCUUAUAAAGUUAAUAAACACUAAGGGUAUUCAAAGUGUCCCACUAGUGCAAUUGAAACAGCACUAGUUGUGCUGUUUGAAAUUGAUAUUGGACUGUUUUUUUGGAAUGAUUACUGCCUCUCUCUAAGCAUCAAUUCCUUCUUCCAUGAAACACACUUAUUUGCAGCGUUUUUAUGAUAAUCACAUGAGCUUCUGAACACAUGAUAUGUAGCACAUUAUCUGGCAGCCAGUAGGAGCUAAAUGGAUAUGAAUUCCAUUAUGUUCAUUGUUGGUACCUUAGCCUGAGCUUUUCAAAAUUAGUGAAAAUCUCUGGGAAAUGAAAUCAUACUCCUUGCCUUCUCUUCUCUCUGAGAUAAUUGGGCCAUUUCAACAUACAUAGUCUCUAAACUAGAACUCACAUCAAUAGGAAAUGAUGUCAAACCAGACAUUUGAAGGCACAGUUACUAACAACUGAAGGGGUACAAUUGAUAGCCAUCAGACUCUCUUCCUCUUCCCUUUGAUGUGAGGCAUGACCUGAGAAGCACAGGAAGUGCUGCAGGCUGAGGCUGAGGUCUAGCCAGGGCUGAGGUCUGGAUUCUGGACCAAGGUUGCUCCACGUUGGGAAGGAUGUGGUCACAGUCAUGAUAAGGGAAGUGUGUGCUCAUUUUCUUGGCUCCAAUGAUACUGUAGGUUCCCAGGGACCAUUAUAUUAGGCCUCCGUGUCCUUUUCUUCUUAUAUGAAUAUAGUAUUCCAUGGUUGUCAUUCUUUGAUUAUAACUGAUCUUGAACAGGUUUUUUUUUUUUUUCAAAUAAAUGUCUGACCCUCAAAAGCCUGAUUUAGUGUCAGCACUGUGUGUAUAUAAAAAGUUAUACCUGAAUACCCUGAAGUGAAAAUGCAUGCUUUCUGCCAUUGAAGUAAAUAUGUUUGUUUGUUUCAGUUGUAUCUGUCAAACUUUAACCAUAAACAAAAGGAUAGCAAUUCCAACAAAAAGUAAAAUCAUCAAGAAAUAUAACAUUAUUUUUUUGGGUGACAUAGUAAUUCUAUUUUUAUCCCAAAUAUAGUUAUAGUAUUAUAUUAUCUUCAGGUAGACAACAUAGUGAUUCAAUAUUUUAAUAGAUUAUACUCCAUUUAAAGUUAUUACAAAAAUAACCCUAUUUUCUGUGGCUUACUUAUUUUAUACAGAGUAGUCUGUAUCUCUUAAACCCAACCCCCUGUCUUGUCUCUCCCCACGUCCCUUUCCACACUGGUAACUAGUUUUUUCUCUGAGCUUUAUAUCUGUGAGCCUGUUACUAUUCUGUUAUUCACAUUCUUUUGUUGUAUUUUUCAGAUUACACAUAUGAGUGAUAACAUAAAAUACUGGUUUUCCUAUCCCACUUAUUUCACUGGAAAUUAAUUUAAAAAAAAUCCCUCACCGGAUCUGAGAAAUAGAGGUUGCCUUGAGUUGUGGUGUAGGUGGCAUAUGCGGCUCAGAUUCCACGUUGCUGUGGCUGUGGUAUAGGCUGGCAGCUGUAGCUCUGAUUCGACCCCUAGCUGGCAACCCCCAUAUGCCACGGGUAUGGCCCUCAAAAGAAAAAA
Sus scrofa (pig) is the source of this 5677-nucleotide non-coding RNA. NCBI's taxonomy places the organism in Eukaryota, Metazoa, Chordata, Mammalia, Artiodactyla, Suidae. The record is from RefSeq and is a predicted model, not a curated record.